This 46-nucleotide non-coding RNA is filed under the name Trichobilharzia regenti. Lineage: Eukaryota; Metazoa; Platyhelminthes; Trematoda; Strigeidida; Schistosomatidae. The record is from RNAcentral.
GCACUCCUGAAGAGUCCCAGAAUGGGACGAAACAGCUGUCUAGUGA